AUUGAACGCUGGCGGCAGGCCUAACACAUGCAAGUCGAGCGGAUGAAGGGAGCUUGCUCCUGGAUUCAGCGGCGGACGGGUGAGUAAUGCCUAGGAAUCUGCCUGGUAGUGGGGGAUAACGUCCGGAAACGGGCGCUAAUACCGCAUACGUCCUGAGGGAGAAAGUGGGGGAUCUUCGGACCUCACGCUAUCAGAUGAGCCUAGGCCGGAUUAGCUAGUUGGUGGGGUAAAGGCCUACCAAGGCGACGAUCCGUAACUGGUCUGAGAGGAUGAUCAGUCACACUGGAACUGAGAGACGGUCCAGACUCCUACGGGAGGCAGCAGUGGGGAAUAUUGGACAAUGGGCGAAAGCCUGAUCCAGCCAUGCCGCGUGUGUGAAGAAGGUCUUCGGAUUGUAAAGCACUUUAAGUUGGGAGGAAGGGCAGUAAGUUAAUACCUUGCUGUUUUGACGUUACCAACAGAAUAAGCACCGGCUAACUUCGUG
RNAcentral lists this ribosomal RNA (484 nucleotides) under uncultured bacterium. RNAcentral's name for it is "partial 16S ribosomal RNA". It matches the Rfam family "Bacterial small subunit ribosomal RNA", at positions 30 to 507 of the family's 1533-position model. The record is from RNAcentral.